GACGAACGCUGGCGGCGUGCUUAACACAUGCAAGUCGAACGGAAAGGCCCUGCUUUUGUGGGGUGCUCGAGUGGCGAACGGGUGAGUAACACGUGAGUAACCUGCCCUUGACUUUGGGAUAACUUCAGGAAACUGGGGCUAAUACCGGAUAGGAGCUCCUGCUGCAUGGUGGGGGUUGGAAAGUUUCGGCGGUUGGGGAUGGACUCGCGGCUUACCAGCUUGUUGGUGGGGUAGUGGCUUACCAAGGUUUUGCCGGGUAGCCGGCCUGAGAGGGUGACCGGCCACAUUGGGACUGAGAUACGGCCCAGACUCCUACGGGAGGCAGCAGUGGGGAAUAUUGCACAAUGGGCGGAAGCCUGAUGCAGCAACGCCGCGUGCGGGAUGACGGCCUUCGGGUUGUAAACCGCUUUCGCCUGUGACGAAGCGUGAGUGACGGUAAUGGGUAAAGAAGCACCGGCUAACUACGUG
Molecule: ribosomal RNA, 468 nt
Filed under: uncultured bacterium
Lineage: Bacteria
Description: partial 16S ribosomal RNA
Rfam family: Bacterial small subunit ribosomal RNA
Source: RNAcentral